GCUGGGCGUGGUGGCUCAUGCCUGUAAUCCCAACACUUGGGGAGGCUGAGGUGAGAGGAUCACUUGAGCCCAGGAGUUUGAGACUAGCCUGGGCAACAUAGUGAGACCCCAUCUCUA
Non-coding RNA from Gorilla gorilla gorilla (western lowland gorilla), 117 nucleotides. It matches the Rfam family "Metazoan signal recognition particle RNA". From Rfam's summary of the family: The signal recognition particle (SRP) is a universally conserved ribonucleoprotein. It is involved in the co-translational targeting of proteins to membranes. Lineage: Eukaryota; Metazoa; Chordata; Mammalia; Primates; Hominidae. The record is from Rfam.